Molecule: ribosomal RNA, 492 nt
Filed under: uncultured bacterium
Lineage: Bacteria
Description: partial 16S ribosomal RNA
Rfam family: Bacterial small subunit ribosomal RNA
Source: RNAcentral
AGUGAACGCUGGCGGUAGGCCUAACACAUGCAAGUCGAACGGCAGCACAGUAAGAGCUUGCUCUUACGGGUGGCGAGUGGCGGACGGGUGAGGAAUACAUCGGAAUCUACUUUUUCGUGGGGGAUAACGUAGGGAAACUUACGCUAAUACCGCAUACGACCUACGGGUGAAAGCAGGGGAUCUUCGGACCUUGCGCGAUUGAAUGAGCCGAUGUCGGAUUAGCUAGUUGGCGGGGUAAAGGCCCACCAAGGCGACGAUCCGUAGCUGGUCUGAGGGGAUGAUCAGCCACACUGGAACUGAGACACGGUCCAGACUCCUACGGGAGGCAGCAGUGGGGAAUAUUGGACAAUGGGCGCAAGCCUGAUCCAGCCAUACCGCGUGGGUGAAGAAGGCCUUCGGGUUGUAAAGCCCUUUUGUUGGGAAAGAAAAGCAGCAGGUUAAUACCCCGCUGUUCUGACGGUACCCAAAGAAUAAGCACCGGCUAAUUUCGUG